Molecule: ribosomal RNA, 253 nt
Filed under: uncultured bacterium
Lineage: Bacteria
Description: partial 16S ribosomal RNA
Rfam family: Bacterial small subunit ribosomal RNA
Source: RNAcentral
UACAGAGGGCCCGAGCGUUGUUCGGAUUUAUUGGGCGUAAAGGGUGCGUAGGCGGCGGAGUAAGUUGGGUGUGAAAUCCCGGGGCUUAACCUCGGAAUGGCAUUCAAUACUGCUUCGCUUGAGUACUGGAGAGGAGGCUGGAAUUUACGGUGUAGCAGUGAAAUGCGUAGAUAUCGUAAGGAAGGCCGGUGGCGAAAGCGAGCCUCUGGACAGUUACUGACGCUGAUGCACGAAGGCCAGGGGAGCAAACGGG